Molecule: unclassified non-coding RNA, 387 nt
Filed under: Hevea brasiliensis (rubber tree)
Lineage: Eukaryota; Viridiplantae; Streptophyta; Magnoliopsida; Malpighiales; Euphorbiaceae
Source: RNAcentral
GGAUUGAGAGAAAUGGAGAGAAGAAAAGAAUUCUGAUUUCUCCAAUUUCUCUUGUUUGGACAUUAGAUAGAGGACAGAAAGGAGGACAAAGGAUGGGAAUAAAAAAGAAAUUUCAUUUCCCAAAUCCUCUUAAUUGACCUAAAAUAUUCUCUUCAAAUUGGAGUGAAAAAUAAGGAAAUGUGGGAAUAAAAGUGUUAUUUAUAUUACAAUUACUUAGACGCCCUUAGACAUAAGAAACAAUGAGGAUAUAAUAGAUGUUUCUCCUCUUUUCUCUUAAGGGAGAAAUUAUAUUUCUCUCAUAUUUUAAUAAUCUAUCCAAACAACAUAAAGAAAAUUAUGUUUCCUUUGAUCUAUCCAAACAACAUAAAGAAGAUUAUGUUUCCUUUG